This is a non-coding RNA of Hemibagrus wyckioides, 339 nucleotides long. The record is from the annotation of a RefSeq genome assembly. Lineage: Eukaryota; Metazoa; Chordata; Actinopteri; Siluriformes; Bagridae.
AUGUUCACUGUUAUAUUCAUGUGUCUGUGGCUUUCAUUAGGUGACUCCAUGGCAGAUCCAAUAAAGCCACGUUUCCCUCAUAAAGUUGUAGAUGAAGGUGAUGAUGUUACUCUGUCCUGCAGCUACAAAGACUUCAGUGGUACAGUAAAUAACUUGCAAUGGUACAAACAACAUCCAAAAUCUAAACCUGAGUUCCUUUUUUUCAUCACUCGAAAUGGAGUUAAAACUGACCCUAUGCCACCACGUCUGUCUGCUGAAGUUGAUGAUAAAACUAAACAAGUGGAUCUGAUCAUCUCCUCUGCUGCUGUAUCAGACUCUGCUCUAUACUACUGUGCUCUG